This 373-nucleotide ribosomal RNA is filed under the name uncultured Alphaproteobacteria bacterium. Its description in RNAcentral is "bacterial SSU rRNA". It matches the Rfam family "Bacterial small subunit ribosomal RNA", at positions 521 to 896 of the family's 1533-position model. The record is from RNAcentral. Lineage: Bacteria; Pseudomonadati; Pseudomonadota; Alphaproteobacteria.
UAAUACGAAGGGACCUAACGUAGUUCGGAAUUACUGGGCUUAAAGAGUUCGUAGGUGGUUAAAAAAGUUGGUGGUGAAAUCCCAGAGCUUAACUCUGGAACUGCCAUCAAAACUUUUUAGCUAGAGUAUGAUAGAGGAAAGCAGAAUUUCUAGUGUAGAGGUGAAAUUCGUAGAAAUUAGAAAGAAUACCGAUUGCGAAGGCAGCUUUCUGGAUCAUUACUGACGCUGAGGAACGAAAGCAUGGGUAGCGAAGAGGAUUAGAUACCCUCGUAGUCCAUGCCGUAAACGAUGUGUGUUAGACGUUGGGAAUUUAUUUUCAGUGUCGCAGCGAAAGCAAUAAACACACCGCCUGGGGAGUACGACCGCAAGGUUA